UAAGAAGGUGCCCUAGAUCCACAUGCCCAACAAAAGGCACUAUGCAUAUAUUCUAUUCUCCACAAAAGAUAAUGUUGAGGUGUGAGAGAGAUAAGGGGGACUUGUGUCAGUCAGUCCAUGUGUAUGAGAGAGAAAAUACAGACAGAGAGAACCCAAAAACCAAAUGCAAAUGAAGAGAAUUGCAUUCCUUUAAUAUUUCAUACUUCAAAAUCUAGGUUUACAUGAUAAUCUCACUCUAAAUCCCCAAACAAAACUAAUAAUUUCUUCUUACAAAACUCACUCUCUAUCUCCUAACCCAACUAACAAAUAACUUAUUUUUACCUACACCCCAUCUAACAAAUAAAAACUCCUUAUUUUCUUCAUCUCCUCUCUCUCUCUUAAACACAGAACUAAAGAUCACUCUUCUCUUCUCUGGGUUUCUGAAUUGGAAUUGGCACAGCAAUUCGGGGCGGAGCGUUAACAGGGAGUGGAGGAGGGGCUUCUGCCAGAGGAGGCUUAGAUGCAGAGACCUCAACACUCUUUUCAUCGACAUCGCCACUGCUAACUGAGAAGCUCUCUGGAAAUGAGAACACUGUCUGUGAGGGCCUUCUAGAGUGGCGCUGAGGCUUCUGAGACAUCUUCAGAGAAAACCCAGAAACUGAAAACAGUUGAUAAUGAAGAAACAAUGGAGGAAAAUCAGGAGAGAGACACAAAUUGCAGGAACUGAGAAUGAAGAAACAGGGGAGAUGAAAAAAAAAAAAUCAAGAGAGAGAGAGAAUGCGUGUGAGGAAGGGAAGAGGAGUGGUUUUAUACGUGGAAGAGUGAAGGGAAG
RNAcentral lists this long non-coding RNA (811 nucleotides) under Amborella trichopoda. Its description in RNAcentral is "long non-coding RNA (ATRI_LNC003078)". The record is from RNAcentral. Lineage: Eukaryota; Viridiplantae; Streptophyta; Magnoliopsida; Amborellales; Amborellaceae.